UUGCUUUGAUGAGGACAUUCCAAGAUAUAGUCUUAAAAAUGUUCCCAUGCCUCGAGCAAUGAUUCAUCAUGUUGUUGCUGAAAGCUUGAUUUUCUCCUAUGCAGAGCAG
Molecule: small nucleolar RNA, 109 nt
Filed under: Sorghum bicolor (sorghum)
Lineage: Eukaryota; Viridiplantae; Streptophyta; Magnoliopsida; Poales; Poaceae
Description: Plant small nucleolar RNA R71
Rfam family: Plant small nucleolar RNA R71
About the family: R71 is a member of the C/D box family of snoRNAs containing the C (UGAUGA) and D (CUGA) box motifs. Multiple nearly identical copies of this snoRNA have been identified in Arabidopsis, and it is thought to function as a 2'-O-ribose methylation guide for 18S ribosomal RNA.
Source: Rfam by way of RNAcentral